GUUCAGAAUCGUGCGCGUAUUCAGAAUUUUUACUAUGCAGAGGCGCUUGGCCAAUGCUGCUAGGCUAAUGGUCUCUAGAAACAAGCGCAGAUACCAGUACGACGGAUUUGAUUUAGAUUUAACAUAUGUCACAGAUAAAAUCAUUGCGAUGAGCUUCCCAUCUUCAGGAAAAAUGUCCUUUU
Long non-coding RNA from Daphnia pulex (common water flea), 182 nucleotides. RefSeq lists it as uncharacterized. The transcript is spliced from 3 exons. The record is from RefSeq and is a predicted model, not a curated record. NCBI's taxonomy places the organism in Eukaryota, Metazoa, Arthropoda, Branchiopoda, Diplostraca, Daphniidae.